AUUUAAUUUGAUUUGAAAAUAUUAUUAAAAAAAAUUAUAAAAAAUAUUUUUUUUGAGAGUAAAUUUAUUGAAAUUAAAGAUUGUAAUGAUAGUUGAUUAGUAUAGUAAUAGAAUUUUUAAAAAAUUUUAUAAGAAAAUUUAAUUUAUUGUACCUUGUGUAUCAGGGCUUAUUAAUUAUAUGUUAUUUAUUUAAUUUUCUCGAUUUAGUAGGAGUUAAUAAUUUAUUUUUUUUAUUGUAAUAUAAAUAUUAUUAAUAAAUUAUUGGUAAUGAAAAGUUAGUCGUUUAUUAAUAUAUCUAGUUUUUUAAGAAUCAAAUUUAAUUUGAUUUUAUUAAAAAUUAUGUUUAUUUUUAAAUAUAAUUUUUUAAUAAAAUUUAUUUUUUUUAGGAUAAUCUAAAAAUAAUAGAUUUAUAAAUUUAUAUUUAUUGAUUAGUUGAUAGGAUUAAUAAUUUUCAUUUAGUAUGUUAUAAUUAACUAUUAUAUUUUAUUAUUUAUAUAGAUUUUAAAUUUUUUAUUAAAAAGAUUAAAUUAAUAAUUAAUUUUGUAUUAUAAUGAUAAAAUUAGUAUAUAAAAUUGUUAUAAUAUUUAUUUUUAAAAUAUUAUGUAAAGGAAUUCGGCAAAUUAUUUUUCGCCUGUUUAAUAAAAACAUGUCUUUUUGAUAAUAAUUUAAAGUCUAAUCUGCCCCCUGAAUUUUUAAAUGGCCGCAGUAUUUUGACUGUGCAAAGGUAGCAUAAUAAUUAGUUUUUUAAUUGAAAGCUGGAAUGAAUGAUUGGACGAGAGAAUAUCUGUCUCUAUAUAAUUAAUAUAGAAUUUUAUUUUUAAGUUAAAAAGCUUAAAUUAGAAUAAAAGACGAGAAGACCCUAUAGAUUUUUAUAUAUAAUAAGUUUUAUUAUUUUAGGGAUUAUUUUUUUUAUAAUUUAUAAUAUAUUUAGUUGGGGUGAUUGAAAAAAUUAAUAAACUUUUUUUUUAUAGUAACAUAAAUUUAUGAGUUUUUGAUUUAUUAGAAUAAUUAUAAGAUUAAAUUACCUUAGGGAUAACAGCGUAAUUUUUUUAAAGAGUUCAAAUCGAAAAGAAAGAUUGCGACCUCGAUGUUGGAUUAAAAUUAUAUUUGGUGUAGAAGCUAAAUUUAUUAAGUCUGUUCGACUUUUAAAAUUUUACAUGAUCUGAGUUUAAAUCGGCGUGAGCCAGGUUGGUUUCUAUCUUUAUAAAAUGAAUAUAAGUUAGUACGAAAGGACCAUUUAUAUAUAAUAGUUAUUUAUUGAGAAUAUUAUU
RNAcentral lists this ribosomal RNA (1271 nucleotides) under Staphylinidae sp. BMNH 1274190. Its description in RNAcentral is "16S ribosomal RNA". The stretch from base 1032 to 1190 matches the Rfam family "Archaeal large subunit ribosomal RNA", at positions 2542 to 2701 of the family's 2987-position model. Lineage: Eukaryota; Metazoa; Arthropoda; Insecta; Coleoptera; Staphylinidae. The record is from RNAcentral.